RNAcentral lists this ribosomal RNA (397 nucleotides) under uncultured bacterium. RNAcentral describes it as "bacterial SSU rRNA". It matches the Rfam family "Bacterial small subunit ribosomal RNA", at positions 64 to 507 of the family's 1533-position model. The record is from RNAcentral.
GAGCGCCGUAGCAAUACGGAACGGCAGACGGGAGAGUAACACGUGGGAACGUACCCUUCGGUUCGGAAUAACUCAGGGAAACUUGAGCUAAUACCGGAUACGUCCGAAAGGAGAAAGAUUUAUCGCCGAGGGAUCGGCCCGCGUCCGAUUAGCUAGUUGGUGGGGUAAUGGCCCACCAAGGCGACGAUCGGUAGCUGGUCUGAGAGGAUGAUCAGCCUCACUGGGACUGAGACACGGCCCAGACUCCUACGGGAGGCAGCAGUGGGGAAUAUUGGACAAUGGGCGCAAGCCUGAUCCAGCCAUGCCGCGUGGGUGAUGAAGGCCUUAGGGUUGUAAAGCCCUUUCGGCGGGGAAGAUAAUGACGGUACCCGCAGAAGAAGCCCCGGCUAACUUCGUG